UCAUUAAUACAUGUUGAGCGCACUUUAAUGUGACUCUUUGUAUAACUAUUACCCCCCAACCCAGAGGU
Molecule: ribosomal RNA, 68 nt
Filed under: uncultured Melampsora
Lineage: Eukaryota; Fungi; Basidiomycota; Pucciniomycetes; Pucciniales; Melampsoraceae
Description: partial 18S ribosomal RNA
Source: RNAcentral